CACACCGCCCGUCACACCAUGGGAGUCGAGUCCUCCAGAAGUGGCAGCGCCAACCCGCAAGGGAGGCAUGUCCCCAAGGAGGGCUUGGUAACUGGGGUG
RNAcentral lists this ribosomal RNA (99 nucleotides) under uncultured bacterium. RNAcentral describes it as "partial 16S ribosomal RNA". It matches the Rfam family "Bacterial small subunit ribosomal RNA", at positions 1386 to 1482 of the family's 1533-position model. The record is from RNAcentral.